GCGGGAAUGGCGGAACUGGCAGACGCGCAAGAUUUAGGUUCUUGUGUCCUUUGGGCGUGGGGGUUCAAAUCCCCCUUCCCGCA
Molecule: transfer RNA, 83 nt
Filed under: bacterium
Lineage: Bacteria
Description: tRNA-Leu
Rfam family: tRNA
About the family: Transfer RNA (tRNA) molecules are approximately 80 nucleotides in length. Their secondary structure includes four short double-helical elements and three loops (D, anti-codon, and T loops).
Source: RNAcentral